UGCGCAGGCGGAAUAAUUAGUCAGUGGUGAAAUCUCCCGGCUCAACCGGGAAACUGCCAUUGAUACUGUUAUUCUUGAGUAUAGUUGUAGUGGGCGGAAUAUAGCAUGUAGCGGUGAAAUGCUUAGAUAUGCUAUAGAACACCGAUCGCGAAGGCAGCUCACUAAACUAUAACUGACGCUCAGGCACGAAAGCGUGGGGAGCGAACAGGAUUAGAUACCCUGGUAGUCC
RNAcentral lists this ribosomal RNA (229 nucleotides) under uncultured bacterium. RNAcentral describes it as "partial 16S ribosomal RNA". It matches the Rfam family "Bacterial small subunit ribosomal RNA", at positions 568 to 796 of the family's 1533-position model. The record is from RNAcentral.